This 305-nucleotide unclassified non-coding RNA is filed under the name plant metagenome. Its description in RNAcentral is "partial contains 5.8S ribosomal RNA, internal transcribed spacer 2, and large subunit ribosomal RNA". The stretch from base 1 to 105 matches the Rfam family "5.8S ribosomal RNA", at positions 50 to 154 of the family's 154-position model. The record is from RNAcentral.
GAAAUGCGAUAAGUAAUGUGAAUUGCAGAAUUCAGUGAAUCAUCGAAUCUUUGAACGCACAUUGCGCCCGCCAGUAUUCUGGCGGGCAUGCCUGUUCGAGCGUCAUUUCAACCAUCAAGCCCCCGGCUUCUGUUGGGGACCUGCGGCUGCCCGCAGGCCCUGAAAAACAGUGGCGGGCUCGCUGUCACACCGAGCGUAGUAGCAUACAUUCUCGCUCAGGGCGUGCUGCGGGUUCCGGCCGUUAAACGACCUUCAUAACCCAAGGUUGACCUCGGAUCAGGUAGGAAGACCCGCUGAACUUAAGC